CAGUAGCCGCGGGAACACGGAGGGAGCUAGCGUUGUUCGGAAUUACUGGGCGUAAAGCGCACGUAGGCGGUUUAUCAAGUCAGAGGUGAAAGCCCGGGGCUCAACCCCGGAACUGCCUUUGAAACUAGUAGACUUGAAUCUUGGAGAGGUCAGUGGAAUUCCGAGUGUAGAGGUGAAAUUCGUAGAUAUUCGGAAGAACACCAGUGGCGAAGGCGACUGACUGGACAAGUAUUGACGCUGAGGUGCGAAAGCGUGGGGAGCGAACAGGAUUAGAUACCCGUGUAGUCCCUGUCUCUUAUAC
Molecule: ribosomal RNA, 301 nt
Filed under: uncultured bacterium
Lineage: Bacteria
Description: partial 16S ribosomal RNA
Rfam family: Bacterial small subunit ribosomal RNA
Source: RNAcentral